AGUGAACGCUGGCGGUAGGCCUAACACAUGCAAGUCGAACGGCAGCACAGUAAGAGCUUGCUCUUACGGGUGGCGAGUGGCGGACGGGUGAGGAAUACAUCGGAAUCUACUUUUUCGUGGGGGAUAACGUAGGGAAACUUACGCUAAUACCGCAUACGACCUACGGGUGAAAGCAGGGGAUCUUCGGACCUUGCGCGAUUGAAUGAGCCGAUGUCGGAUUAGCUAGUUGGCGGGGUAAAGGCCCACCAAGGCGACGAUCCGUAGCUGGUCUGAGAGGAUGAUCCGCCACACUGGAACUGAGACACGGCCCAGACUCCUACGGGAGGCAGCAGUGGGGAAUAUUGGACAAUGGGCGCAAGCCUGAUCCAGCCAUACCGCGUGGGUGAAGAAGGCCUUCGGGUUGUAAAGCCCUUUUGUUGGGAAAGAAAAGCAGCAGGUUAAUACCCCGCUGUUCUGACGGUACCCAAAGAAUAAGCACCGGCUAACUUCGUG
This 492-nucleotide ribosomal RNA is filed under the name uncultured bacterium. RNAcentral describes it as "partial 16S ribosomal RNA". It matches the Rfam family "Bacterial small subunit ribosomal RNA", at positions 29 to 507 of the family's 1533-position model. The record is from RNAcentral.